CAAUUAUUAGACUUUAGGCAUUAUAGAAUGCUUGCUUUAUUUGUAAAAUAAAUAAACAUUUCUUGCUUAGCAGCAAUGUUAGUUGCGAAUAAAUUAAUCUAUUUAAAUUAUUUCAAUUUGACAACUUCUAAUUAUAAAAUCCCUUUGUGCAACGCGUGCGUCCUUCGAUGCUGAUGUGCGUAACUAAAAGCUUUUCCUUCUCGUUCUUUCUGUUUUAUGCAGGAGAGAGCUCCUUCAAAAUGCUUUCUCUCUUAACAUAACGCUAACCCUCCUUUUCUCGCUUCCAUUCAUCAACCAUUCUCAAAACAAAAAAAACAUUUGAAGGUCGUCGCUUGCUUCGUUGCAGGUCUUUGGCUGGUUGGCCCGGUUUCCAGGUUACCCGUUCGCCUGUGCCUGCUGUUAUGAUGAUGUUGGUUUUGUGAGAAUGAUAAAUUGAAAAAAAAGUAAUAGUACCACGGAGCGUAAACAAAAGGUGUGGCUUUAAAGCGUUGGGUGGAUAAAACGUGCCGGGCAAAUACAAAAUACUAACACUCCACAGAGACUAAUCGGAAUCCUCUAAUCAUGCAGUAUUGCUCGCCAGGAAUUAAGUACCGUCCCAGGCGUCUUAAAGCGAAAGGAUAAUCCGUAAUGAAGCGUCGUGAUUUUGACAUGACAUGAGAGUGAUUUUCAGAUGGCAGGGAGCUUAUGCUCGCAUGAUGAAGAACAAUCACUAAACACACGCAAAGGUGACGGCAUUUCAAGUGUGGAUGAUGACAUCAUUUUGUGUUUGAGGAGGUUUUGUUUUCAUUUCAUUUAUGAUCUUUCUUGUUCACGGACCUUACUCCAUUACACUGCUACAACUGCAUUGUAUGGAGAGGUCAAUCAACUUUGGAGUCGUUCACCACACGUGUCGCGACAAUCCAUCCGGAACGAAUCGAUCAUCACCGAUGCUACUCGGCCCAGAAGAACUGGCUCAGGAACCGGUAUUAUACAUUCAUUUCCAGCCGUUCUAACGGUAGCGUCGGAUGCAUUACAUGGUUGUCCAUUAAUAAAUGGGGCGUCGCCCAAGCGGACAUUUACUAUUAUCAGCAAUGGAAACCGGUCCAUUCCUCCGACGAGGGCAUUUUAAUGAGCGUUCGAUUAGUAGACCGGUAAAAGCGCUCAUUCUGACUACCACACGGAAAGCUUUCCGACGGAAAAACUCUAACCAAACAGGCUAAUUUGUAAUCCCGACACCCACUACCCCGUCACUACAUGCUUAGCAACUUUGCGAACGUUUUUGGCAAAUUUAUAGAUUUUUUUUUAAAUUUUUUUUAUUAGUUUUUUAUUCUAUUUAAAGCAUUAUUUCACCAAAACGGUCAGGCCGUUGUAUCUGAAUAAAAAAAGCAUUAUUUGAGUGAAACUAAACUUAUUUCAAUCAAUUCGCAGUAAAAUAAAUCUAUAUCUAUAAAAUUCUCGUGUCGCGGUGUUAGUGUGCAAACUCCUCCGAAACGGCUGAACCGAUUUGUAUGAAAUUUUCGAUGAACGUUCGUUAGAUAUGAGAAUAGGUUUACCACCUACUUUUCAUUUCGCUAGGUGGCCCCUGGCGAAUAUUAUGAGUUCUUUUCUGAUUUUCAUACGGGAGUUAUCAAUAGGCAUAGCCUAUUAUAUUUUUUUAUUAUUUUUUAUUCUUUUUAAUUUAAAGAAUUAUUUGAGUGAAAAAAAACUUAUUUCAAGCAAGUCGCAUUAACAUAUAUCACCUUUAUAAAUUUUGCUAUAUUGCUUAAAAAUGAAGAAAAUUUUACAUUUUCUCAAACAGGGUAUGGAACUUGGUUCCUCGAAUAACUUUUGGCACAAACAUCUGAGGACAUGGCCGUCCAAGAAGAAAAUGUAGCCAUUGAUGCCAUCUAUCGACCACAGGUUAAAGAUUGGCGAUCCGUUGAAUACCGACAGAGUUAUAGGCAAAAUUUGGUUCAAAAAUGAGCCUUUUGAAAUUUUUAAAUUUAUAUAAUUUUUUUAAUUUUUUCUGAUUUUUUAUUCUUUUUUUAAUUUAAAGCAUUAUUUGAGUGUAAAGAAACUUAUUUGAACCAAUUGGCAUUAAAAUAAAUCAAUUUAAUUUUUUUUGCAAAAUUUCUCAAAAAAAAACGUAAGGGGUAAGCCUUAUGAAAUUUUCGAGUUGAAAAUUUUUUAAAUUUUUUUUCUGAUUUUUUAUUCUUUAUUUAACUUAAAGCAUUAUUUGAGUGAAAAGAAAGUUAUUGCAACAAAUUCCCAUUAAAAUAUAUGACAUUUAAAAAUUUUGCUAAAUUGCUCAAAAAUGAAGAAAAUUUUACGUUUUCUCAAACAGGGUAUGGAACUUGGUUCCUCGAAUAAUUUCUGACACAGACAUCUGAGGGCAUGGCCGUCCAAGAAGAAAAUGUAGCCAUUGGUGUCAUCUAUCGACCACAGUUUAAAGAUUGGCGAUCCGUUGGAUACCGACCAAGUUAUAGGCAAAACUUGGUGCAAAAAUGAAGAAAAUUUUACAUUUUCUCAAACAGGGUAUGGAACUUGGUUCCUCGAAUAACUUUUGGCACAAACAUCUGAGGACAUGGCCGUCCAAGAAGAAAAUGUAGCCAUUGAUGCCAUCUAUCGACCACAGGUUAAAGAUUGGCGAUCCGUUGGAUACCGACCGAGUUAUAGGCAAAACUUGGUGCAAAAAUGAAGAAAAUUUUACAUUUUCUCAAACAGGGUAUGGAACUUGGUUCCUCGAAUAACUUUUGGCACAAACAUCUGAGGACAUGGCCGUCCAAGAAGAAAAUGUAGCCAUUGAUGCCAUCUAUCGACCACAGGUUAAAGAUUGGCGAUCCGUUGAAUACCGACAGAGUUAUAGGCAAAAUUUGGUUCAAAAAUGAGCCUUUUGAAAUUUUUAAAUUUAUAUAAUUUUUUUUAUUUUUUUCUGAUUUUUUAUUCUUUUUUUAAAUUUAAAGCAUUAUUUGAGUGAAAAGAAACUUAUUUGAACCAAUUGGCAUUAAAAUAAAUCAAUUUAAUUUUUUUUGCAAAAUUUCUCAAAAAAAAACGUAAGGGGUAAGCCUUAUGAAAUUUUCGAGUUGAAAAUUUUUUGAAAUUUUUUUUCUGAUUUUUUAUUCUUUAUUUAACUUAAAGCAUUAUUUGAGUGAAAAGAAAGUUAUUGCAACAAAUUCCCAUUAAAAUAUAUGACAUUUAAAAAUUUUGCUAAAUUGCUCAAAAAUGAAGAAAAUUUUACGUUUUCUCAAACGGGGUAUGGAACUUGGUUCCUCGAAUAAUUUCUGACACAGACAUCUGAGGGCAUGGCCGUCCAAGAAGAAAAUGUAGCCAUUGGUGUCAUCUAUCGACCACAGUUUAAAGAUUGGCGAUCCGUUGGAUACCGACCGAGUUAUAGGCAAAACUUGGUGCAAAAAUGAGGAAAAUUUUACAUUUUCUCAAACAGGGUAUGGAACUUGGGUCCUCGAAUAACUUUUGGCACAAACAUCUGAGGACAUGGCCGUCCAAGAAGAAAAUGUAGCCAUUGAUGCCAUCUAUCGACCACAGGUUAAAGAUUGGCGAUCCGUUGAAUACCGACAGAGUUAUAGGCAAAAUUUGGUUCAAAAAUGAGCCUUUUGAAAUUUUUAAAUUUAUAUAAUUUUUUUAUUUUUUUCUGAUUUUUUAUUCUUUUUUUAAUUUAAAGCAUUAUUUGAGUGUAAAGAAACUUAUUUGAACCAAUUGGCAUUAAAAUAAAUCAAUUUAAUUUUUUUUGCAAAAUUUCUCAAAAAAAAACGUAAGGGGUAAGCCUUAUGAAAUUUUCGAGUUGAAAAUUUUUUGAAAUUUUUUUUCUGAUUUUUUAUUCUUUAUUUAACUUAAAGCAUUAUUUGAGUGAAAAGAAAGUUAUUGCAAUAAAUUCCCAUUAAAAUAUAUGACAUUUAAAAAUUUUGCUAAAUUGCUCAAAAAUGAAGAAAAUUUUACGUUUUCUCAAACAGGGUAUGGAACUUGGUUCCUCGAAUAAUUUCUGACACAGACAUCUGAGGGCAUGGCCGUCCAAGAAGAAAAUGUAGCCAUUGGUGUCAUCUAUCGACCACAGGUUAAAGAUUGGCGAUCCGUUGAAUACCGACAGAGUUAUAGGCAAAAUUUGGUUCAAAAAUGAGCCUUUUGAAAUUUUUAAAUUUAUAUAAUUUUUUUAUUUUUUCUGAUUUUUUAUUCUUUUUUUAAUUUAAAGCAUUAUUUGAGUGUAAAGAAACUUAUUUGAACCAAUUGGCAUUAAAAUAAAUCAAUUUAAUUUUUUUGCAAAAUUUCUCAAAAAAAAACGUAAGGGGU
Anopheles funestus (African malaria mosquito) is the source of this 4260-nucleotide long non-coding RNA. RefSeq lists it as uncharacterized. Lineage: Eukaryota; Metazoa; Arthropoda; Insecta; Diptera; Culicidae. The record is from RefSeq and is a predicted model, not a curated record. The transcript is spliced from 3 exons.